UAUUACAUUUGUUUCACACAG
This is a non-coding RNA of Caenorhabditis elegans, 21 nucleotides long. Lineage: Eukaryota; Metazoa; Nematoda; Chromadorea; Rhabditida; Rhabditidae. The record is from Ensembl.